GCGCGAAAACUUUGCAAUUCGAGAAAUCGUGACAAGGGAACUCCGAGUGCCCGUAAAUUCGGGCUGUCCAUCAGUUUAAAAAACUGGUGAAGAAAGGGCCGGGCAAGACCGGUGCCAGCCGCCGCGGUAAUACCGGCGGCUCGAGUGGUGGCCACUAUUACUGGGCUUUAAAGCGUCCGUAGCUGGUCUGUUAAGUCUCUGGGGAAAUCUACCGGCUUAAACCGGUAGGCGUCUCAGGGAUACUGGCAGACUAGGGACCGGGAGAGGUGAGAGGUACUCCAGGGGUAGGAGUGAAAUCCUGUAAUCCUUGGGGGACCACCUGUGGCGAAGGCGUCUCACCAGAACGGCUCCGACAGUGAGGGACGAAAGCUGGGGGAGCAAACCGGAUUAGAUACCCGGGUAGUCCCAGCUGUAAACGAUGCGCGUUAGGUGUAUCGGUGACCACGAGUCACCGAGGUGCCGAAGAGAAAUCGUGAAACGUGACCGCCUGGGAAUACGGGUCGCAAGGCUAGAAACUUAAAGGAAUUGGCGGGGGAGCGACCACAACGGGUGGAGCCGUGUAC
This 563-nucleotide ribosomal RNA is filed under the name uncultured Methanomicrobiales archaeon. Its description in RNAcentral is "bacterial SSU rRNA". It matches the Rfam family "Archaeal small subunit ribosomal RNA", at positions 339 to 901 of the family's 1478-position model. Lineage: Archaea; Methanobacteriati; Methanobacteriota; Methanomicrobia; Methanomicrobiales. The record is from RNAcentral.